GGGGACGUCCGCGACCACCGCAACCAGCGCCCCCUGGCGGUGGCCAAUGACCAGCAGGUCAUUGACCUCCUCCGUGGGAAACCCUCCCGCUCGGCCCCUCCCCCCUCCCGGGCAGCCAAUGGCCGCAGCCCCGCCCGCCCCUCCCCAGCAGCCAAUCAGAGAGCAGCGUCCUCCCAGCCAGCCAAUGAGGAGCGGGGAGGCCACAAGGACCAAUCAGAAGAGGGCAAGGAGACCCAGAGAGACACGUGACCCCCCCCCCCACCCCUCCCCCUUCCAUUCAUGAGCAUUAAACUGGGUUUUGGGUUGAAUUCAA
Molecule: long non-coding RNA, 313 nt
Organism: Melopsittacus undulatus (budgerigar)
Lineage: Eukaryota; Metazoa; Chordata; Aves; Psittaciformes; Psittaculidae
Exons: 3
Source: RefSeq, a predicted model, not a curated record